AGGCCACUGGCUCAAUUGGUAGAGCAUCGGUUUCCAAAACCGAGGGUUGGCGGUUCGAGUCCGUCGUGGCCUG
Molecule: transfer RNA, 73 nt
Filed under: Sinobacterium caligoides
Lineage: Bacteria; Pseudomonadati; Pseudomonadota; Gammaproteobacteria; Cellvibrionales; Spongiibacteraceae
Description: bacterium SCSWE24 tRNA
Rfam family: tRNA
About the family: Transfer RNA (tRNA) molecules are approximately 80 nucleotides in length. Their secondary structure includes four short double-helical elements and three loops (D, anti-codon, and T loops). Further hydrogen bonds mediate the characteristic L-shaped molecular structure. tRNAs have two regions of fundamental functional importance: the anti-codon, which is responsible for specific mRNA codon recognition, and the 3' end, to which the tRNAs corresponding amino acid is attached (by aminoacyl-tRNA synthetases). tRNAs cope with the degeneracy of the genetic code in two manners: having more than one tRNA (with a specific anti-codon) for a particular amino acid; and 'wobble' base-pairing, i.e. permitting non-standard base-pairing at the 3rd anti-codon position.
Source: Rfam by way of RNAcentral